UACGGGGGGGGCAAGCGUUGUCCGGAAUUACUGGGCGUAAAGGGCUCGUAGGCGGCCAACUAAGUCAGACGUGAAAUCCCCAGGCUCAACCUGGGAACUGCGUCUGAUACUGGAUGGCUUGAAUCCGGGAGAGGGAUGCAGAAUUCCAGGUGUAGCGGUGAAAUGCGUAGAUAUCUGGAGGAAUACCGGUGGCGAAGGCGGCAUCCUGGACCGGCAUUGACGCUGAGGAGCGAAAGCCAGGGGAGCAAACGGG
RNAcentral lists this ribosomal RNA (253 nucleotides) under uncultured bacterium. RNAcentral describes it as "partial 16S ribosomal RNA". It matches the Rfam family "Bacterial small subunit ribosomal RNA", at positions 524 to 776 of the family's 1533-position model. The record is from RNAcentral.